CUGACAGCCCUGGGGACUGAAGUCCUGUUUAUCCACAGGACAAGGAUAGCCCGGAGAAUGCAAACUCCGUCCCCUCGUCCCAUGUCCAUCAACUACCUAAACCCUGACAGAGGAAUCAAUUCUAGGGCUGAGGAUAGUUCAUUCUUCAAGAUCCCUUCACUCCUUGACCUUU
Molecule: small RNA, 172 nt
Filed under: Gopherus agassizii (Agassiz's desert tortoise)
Lineage: Eukaryota; Metazoa; Chordata; Testudines; Testudinidae
Description: TUC338 (ENSGAGG00000000966.1)
Source: RNAcentral